RNAcentral lists this unclassified non-coding RNA (704 nucleotides) under Hevea brasiliensis (rubber tree). The record is from RNAcentral. Lineage: Eukaryota; Viridiplantae; Streptophyta; Magnoliopsida; Malpighiales; Euphorbiaceae.
GAAAGACUAAUAUAUAUACUACAAAAUAAUACUGGUUCACCCAGUAAGCACAUGAAUUUGCAUAAACCCAAUAGAAAUGGAACUUCGAAUAACACGUUUAACGACCCUUUGGCCUUCAAUCCAUCAUUUUCAGGUCAUUUUGUUAUUCUGUACAGGUUUACUAUGCUUGCAACCACCUACCGAUUGUCUCAGGAAUUUGGGAAAUGAAACUGAUCGACUUGCACUCCUGGAAUUCAAAUCCAAGAUAGGCGAUGAUCCACAUGACGUCUUCAGCUCCUGGAAUGAUUCUGUCAACUUCUGCAAAUGGCAGGGGAUUACUUGUGGCCGAAAACACCACAGAGUUACUUCUCUAAACCUGUACGGGCUGAGCUUGUCUGGAACCAUUUCUCCGUUUAUAGGGAACCUCACCUUCUUAAGGUUCCUCAAUCUUCGCAACAACAGCUUCCAUGGUGAAAUUCCUCAAGAAGUUGGCCGCUUGUCCCGACUGAGACACCUCAACCUGACAGAUAACAGAUUGGGAGGUGAAAUUCCACUCAACAUCACCUACUGCUCAGAGCUCCGAAUCCUGAUAUUGGCUAGAAAUAGAUUUGUGGGUAAAAUUCUCGAUGAACUUGGCUCUUUGAAAAAGCUUGUGUCACUUGACCUCUACGGAAAUAAUCUCACAGGAGAGAUCCCACAUUCAUUUGGAAACCUUUCGUCCUUCA